AGUGAACGCUGGCGGUAGGCCUAACACAUGCAAGUCGAACGGCAGCACAGUAAGAGCUUGCUCUUACGGGUGGCGAGUGGCGGACGGGUGAGGAAUACAUCGGAAUCUACUUUUUCGUGGGGGAUAACGUAGGGAAACUUACGCUAAUACCGCAUACGACCUACGGGUGAAAGCAGGGGAUCUUCGGACCUUGCGCGAUUGAAUGAGCCGAUGUCGGAUUAGCUAGUUGGCGGGGUAAAGGCCCACCAAGGCGACGAUCCGUAGCUGGUCUGAGAGGAUGAUCAGCCACACUGGAGCUGAGACACGGUCCAGGCUCCUACGGGAGGCAGCAGUGGGGAAUAUUGGACAAUGGGCGCAAGCCUGAUCCAGCCAUACCGCGUGGGUGAAGAAGGCCUUCGGGUUGUAAAGCCCUUUUGUUGGGAAAGAAAAGCAGCAGGUUAAUACCCCGCUGUUCUGACGGUACCCAAAGAAUAAGCACCGGCUAACUUCGUG
Molecule: ribosomal RNA, 492 nt
Filed under: uncultured bacterium
Lineage: Bacteria
Description: partial 16S ribosomal RNA
Rfam family: Bacterial small subunit ribosomal RNA
Source: RNAcentral